RNAcentral lists this ribosomal RNA (864 nucleotides) under Bacillus licheniformis. RNAcentral's name for it is "bacterial SSU rRNA". It matches the Rfam family "Bacterial small subunit ribosomal RNA", at positions 60 to 904 of the family's 1533-position model. Lineage: Bacteria; Bacillati; Bacillota; Bacilli; Caryophanales; Bacillaceae. The record is from RNAcentral.
AGUCGAGCGAACAGACGGGAGCUUGCUCCCUGAUGUUAGCGGCGGACGGGUGAGUAACACGUGGGUAACCUGCCUGUAAGACUGGGAUAACUCCGGGAAACCGGGGCUAAUACCGGAUGCUUGUUUGAACCGCAUGGUUCAAAUAUAAAAGGUGGCUUUUAGCUACCACUUACAGAUGGACCCGCGGCGCAUUAGCUAGUUGGUGAGGUAACGGCUCACCAAGGCAACGAUGCGUAGCCGACCUGAGAGGGUGAUCGGCCACACUGGGACUGAGACACGGCCCAGACUCCUACGGGAGGCAGCAGUAGGGAAUCUUCCGCAAUGGACGAAAGUCUGACGGAGCAACGCCGCGUGAGUGAUGAAGGUUUUCGGAUCGUAAAACUCUGUUGUUAGGGAAGAACAAGUACCGUUCGAAUAGGGCGGUACCUUGACGGUACCUGACCAGAAAGCCACGGCUAACUACGUGCCAGCAGCCGCGGUAAUACGUAGGUGGCAAGCGUUGUCCGGAAUUAUUGGGCGUAAAGCGCGCGCAGGCGGUUUCUUAAGUCUGAUGUGAAAGCCCCCGGCUCAACCGGGGAGGGUCAUUGGAAACUGGGGAACUUGAGUGCAGAAGAGGAGAGUGGAAUUCCACGUGUAGCGGUGAAAUGCGUAGAGAUGUGGAGGAACACCAGUGGCGAAGGCGACUCUCUGGUCUGUAACUGACGCUGAGGCGCGAAAGCGUGGGGAGCGAACAGGAUUAGAUACCCUGGUAGUCCACGCCGUAAACGAUGAGUGCUAAGUGUUAGAGGGUUUCCGCCCUUUAGUGCUGCAGCAAACGCAUUAAGCACUCCGCCUGGGGAGUACGGUCGCAAGACUGAAACUCAA